Molecule: small nucleolar RNA, 108 nt
Filed under: Caenorhabditis remanei
Lineage: Eukaryota; Metazoa; Nematoda; Chromadorea; Rhabditida; Rhabditidae
Description: Small nucleolar RNA sn2524
Rfam family: Small nucleolar RNA sn2524
Source: Rfam by way of RNAcentral
UUAGACACAACUUACUCGAAAGUGGACUUGACUCUAUCUCUUUUGUCUUUCUGAAUCUUCAAAAUAUACGCAUCCACAAAAUCAUUGCCUCCAUCUUCAAUGACAUGA